ACUAGAUUUUCACUGCGCCUAUGGGCGGUCCCUAGGUUCCUUGAAUUUUUCCUCGGGAACUGAAACGCGCUUACGGUACCUAUACAUGUCCCAAAUAACCCAAAAAAUUAGACCUAGGGCCUACUCGGCCAAUUUCAAAAUUCUGACACGGCAGCUCCGCCGUGCUCCGGCGAUGGCGCCGUCGCUCGCAGUAGUGAUCCGCCUCGGGUUGGCAGUUUUUGGAGGUUUUCGGUUGAAUUCAGCCAAACUUGC
This 252-nucleotide long non-coding RNA is filed under the name Carica papaya (papaya). Its description in RNAcentral is "long non-coding RNA (CPAP_LNC003099)". Lineage: Eukaryota; Viridiplantae; Streptophyta; Magnoliopsida; Brassicales; Caricaceae. The record is from RNAcentral.